GAUGAACGCUAGCGGCAGGCUUAAUACAUGCAAGUCGUGGGGCAGCAUGAGUAGCAAUACUUGAUGGCGACCGGCAAACGGGUGAGGAACACGUACACAACCUUCCUUCAAGCGGGGAAUAGCCCAGAGAAAUUUGGAUUAAUACCCCAUAAUAUAUUUGAUAAGGCAUCUUAUUAAUAUUAAAGCUUCGGCACUUGAUGAUGGGUGUGCGGCUGAUUAGAUAGUUGGCGGGUAACGGCCCACCAAGUCUACGAUCAGUAGCUGAUGUGAGAGCAUGAUCAGCCACACGGGCACUGAGACACGGGCCCGACUCCUACGGGAGGCAGCAGUAAGGAAUAUUGGACAAUGGACGAAGUCUGAUCCAGCCAUGCCGCGUGAAGGAUUAAGGUCCUCUGGAUUGUAAACUUCUUUAUAUGGGACGAAAAAAGGGCAUUCUUGUUCACUUGACGGUACCAUAUGAAUAAGCACCGGCUAACUCCGUGCCAGCA
This 488-nucleotide ribosomal RNA is filed under the name uncultured bacterium. RNAcentral's name for it is "bacterial SSU rRNA". It matches the Rfam family "Bacterial small subunit ribosomal RNA", at positions 28 to 513 of the family's 1533-position model. The record is from RNAcentral.